Molecule: ribosomal RNA, 484 nt
Filed under: uncultured bacterium
Lineage: Bacteria
Description: partial 16S ribosomal RNA
Rfam family: Bacterial small subunit ribosomal RNA
Source: RNAcentral
GACGAACGCUGGCGGCGCGCCUAACACAUGCAAGUCGAACGGAGUCAAGAGGAGCUUGCUUUUCUUGGCUUAGUGGCGAACGGGUGAGUAACGCGUGAGUAACCUGCCCUGAAGUGGGGGACAACAGUUGGAAACGACUGCUAAUACCGCAUAAGCCCACGGAUUCGCAUGGAUCUGCGGGAAAAGGAUUUAUUCGCUGCAGGAUGGACUCGCGUCCAAUUAGCUAGUUGGUGAGGUAACGGCCCACCAAGGCGACGAUUGGUAGCCGGACUGAGAGGUUGAACGGCCACAUUGGGACUGAGACACGGCCCAGACUCCUACGGGAGGCAGCAGUGGGGGAUAUUGCACAAUGGGGGAAACCCUGAUGCAGCGACGCCGCGUGGAGGAAGAAGGUUUUCGGAUUGUAAACUCCUGUCGUUAGGGACGAUAAUGACGGUACCUAACAAGAAAGCACCGGCUAACUACGUGCCAGCAGCCGCCGUAA